UAUUUUAAAGAGAGUUUGAUCCUGGCUCAGGACGAACGCUGGCGGCGUGCCUAAUACAUGCAAGUCGAACGAACGGAGGAAGAGCUUGCUCUUCCAAAGUUAGUGGCGGACGGGUGAGUAACACGUGGGCAACCUGCCUGUAAGUUGGGGAUAACUCCGGGAAACCGGGGCUAAUACCGAAUGAUAAGGAGUGACGCAUGUCACUGCUUUGAAAGAUGGUUUCGGCUAUCGCUUACAGAUGGGCCCGCGGUGCAUUAGCUAGUUGGUAGGGUAA
RNAcentral lists this ribosomal RNA (274 nucleotides) under Listeria seeligeri. RNAcentral's name for it is "partial 16S ribosomal RNA". It matches the Rfam family "Bacterial small subunit ribosomal RNA", at positions 1 to 260 of the family's 1533-position model. The record is from RNAcentral. Lineage: Bacteria; Bacillati; Bacillota; Bacilli; Caryophanales; Listeriaceae.